Molecule: ribosomal RNA, 231 nt
Filed under: Hemiselmis rufescens
Lineage: Eukaryota; Cryptophyceae; Cryptomonadales; Hemiselmidaceae
Description: partial Eukaryotic small subunit ribosomal RNA
Rfam family: Eukaryotic small subunit ribosomal RNA
Source: RNAcentral
GAUCGGGACAGGUGACGGAGGAUUAGGGUUUGACUCCGGAGAGGGAGCCUGAGAAAUGGCUCCCACAUCUAAGGAAGGCAGCAGGCGCGUGAAUUGCCCAAUCCUGAGAGAGGGAGGUAGUGACAAAAAAUAGCGAUACAAGGCAUCCAUGUUUUGUAAUUGGAAUGAGGGAUCAGUAAAUGUCGUUUUGAGUACCAAUUGGAGGGCAAGUCUGGUGCCAGCAGCCGCGGU